Molecule: transfer RNA, 72 nt
Filed under: Geranomyces variabilis
Lineage: Eukaryota; Fungi; Chytridiomycota; Chytridiomycetes; Spizellomycetales; Powellomycetaceae
Also listed under: 1 other name
Description: tRNA-Ala
Rfam family: tRNA
About the family: Transfer RNA (tRNA) molecules are approximately 80 nucleotides in length. Their secondary structure includes four short double-helical elements and three loops (D, anti-codon, and T loops). Further hydrogen bonds mediate the characteristic L-shaped molecular structure. tRNAs have two regions of fundamental functional importance: the anti-codon, which is responsible for specific mRNA codon recognition, and the 3' end, to which the tRNAs corresponding amino acid is attached (by aminoacyl-tRNA synthetases). tRNAs cope with the degeneracy of the genetic code in two manners: having more than one tRNA (with a specific anti-codon) for a particular amino acid; and 'wobble' base-pairing, i.e. permitting non-standard base-pairing at the 3rd anti-codon position.
Source: RNAcentral
GGGGUGUUAACUCAGUGGUAGAGUGCUCGCUUCGCAUGCGAGAAGCCCGGGGUUCAAUCCCCCGACGCUCCA